CAGCUCCACUCGCAGCGUACGGCACCAGCGUCCGUGCUGCGGGCGGUAGGAGGAAGGGCGUGCGCGGACCGGGGAGCGCGCCCAGAGCGACGGGAAGCUGGGCGAGAGCCGGGAGCCCCUGGACCAGUUCCCUCAGGAGGAACACAGCCUGGGGUCUGGGUCACCACGUGCCGUCGCCUCCGCUGCCGCCGCCAGGCAGUUUAUAAUGAAGAUAUUCACCACCUGUCAAGGUUGCUUUGUUUUAUACAGGGAAUAUUUAAAGUCUUUUCCACAAGUUUUUUAAAUAAGGAAGAGAGCAGGCAGGUGCUGUUUUGUGCUGUGGCCGUGUGACUGGCAUAGUCACUGGAUGUGACAGUACUCUACACAUUGGGACCCUUGCACUGCACAAUAGAAUUUGACACUUUUCAACUUGUGUUUCUUAUGGACAGAGCAGCAGUGACAUUAAAACUCUACAUCAGACGCAUUGUCAUGUAGCCCUUUCUUGGGAAGAUGCAGAUGAACAAGGAACUGAGAGUGAUGCAGGGGGAAAUACCGAGAGCUCACUGAAAGAGCAUCCUCAAGAAGAUGAACGGUCCUCAAAAACAUCUCUACCACGGAAUGUGAUCUGCCCACGGUAGAGGAGCUGAUGACCUAUCAGAAUAGAUUCCUUUGGGGUUGGUGGUUUUGAUUUACAAUCUGUCAGUGACAAGAAACUGGCUGAGAAUAAAGAAACUGAAUUUGUUAAUGCUUUACCCCUUAAGAUGAAUCCAAAUUUUAUGUCUCAAGAAACAAAAUGUGAACCAAUUUUUGGACAAAAAUGAAUAACAUAUAGUUUUACAAAAGUCAACAAAUGAAGGUACAGAAAAUAACUGUCCAAGAGUAAAUACUGUGGAAGAACAAAUAGAUAAAAUGUACCUUGAUAUUUUGAAGAAAAAAAUACCUGUUUGUCCUUGAUUAUUACCCCAGGAUGACAAAAUACAUAAGGUAAGUGUCUAUAGUUUAUAUUGAUCAGACAUAGUGAUCAAUGAAGUUACAUAAAUACUGCUGAUAGGUAUGUACUUUGUGAGCCAGUGGGACUGAUUACAGAGUAACCUCCACGUGGAUCCUGGGCAUCUGUGAGCAGUAGCUGUUACAACACCCUGUUGUCCCCAGAUUUAAAAAUGCCACUGUAGCAUUAGCUUUCUUUUAGAAGCCACUCUUUACAUUUUUUAUUUUUUAAGUACACAUAGUCCAGAAUUUGAGUAGCAUAAGAAAAUUAAGUUUAUUCUGGUGCCUUUUAUUCAAUCUUACCAGUAGUCUGUGUUGUGCAAAAGGAGGUGAGUUGGCAUUUCAUAUAAAUGCUGUUAGCGACUGUUGAGAAACUUAUACAUCUCUGUUCCUUGUUUCUGUGUUCUUGAUUUAUUCUGCUUUAUAGACACGUGACCACAGUAUUCCAUUUUUAUUUUAUGGUUUUGAUUUAUGUGUUUACCAUAAACUAACCAUAAAUUAUCUCCAGUUCCUUGUGGAAAAAAGCAGAGUGCUGAUCAGUUUUUACCUUGAGAAAUCUGGAGAAAAAAGAUAAGAUUUUAAGUCAUUUCAAUUAUGUUCUUCCCCACUCUCCUCCAUGAUCAUUCUUGUAAUUACAUGUCUUGCUUUCUGGCAAGCCUAUUUUGUUUUAUUAUUUUGCUAUUUUUGCUCCUGACUUUGAAGAUGUGCUUCAGAAUACUAAAAUUCUGAUGAAUUAGGCUUGGAGAACUUGAAUGUUGUGGCUCACCUUCUACAAACUGUGUUCUUCAGUAAGCAGUAUGAUUUUGCCAUCUGUUAAAUCAUAUUUACAACUGUCACUGAUCUUUAAGUACUGAAGAAUUUGUACUUGUGCACAGACUCUUAGAUCUCAGCUGUGUUCCGGAGAAGCAGGGGCUGGUUGGUACACAGCUACCACACAGGAAGGCCAGACAUGCCCCUCCUUUAUUUAGAGAAAACCCCAGAGUGGAUUAUGUGCAUCAGUUAGGAGCUCAGGCUAAGGCAAACCCAGUUCACCAUUCAAGACAUUUUCUACUCUUGAAAAAAAACUUCAAAGGACACUGCGAAUAGCAAAUACUUGAGAUCCAUCCCUGCCUCAAAUCAAGCCAGGAAAAAAGGUAAUUAUACACACUUUUCAUAAUAAAAUUCUGUACAUAUAUUAUUUCAUUUUCCUUAUUCUCUACUUUCCCUGUUUCCUUGUCUCCUUCUGAGAACUUUCCUUAUUUGUAGAAAAAAAUUAAUCUUAAGGUGCUACAUUCCAUCUCUGAAAGACAGAUUCAGUUCACUUCAGUUCAGGGAGUUUGUCAUCACUAAUUCUAGGUUUUCCUGAAUGAGACCCAGAAAGUAUGGGAGGUGAAUAUAAGAUAGGAGAGCCAAACCCCUCCUCAUCUGGUUGGCUUUGUAAUAUCCAAAAUGUUUGCCAGAAAAGAGCUAUAAUUCAAAAUGCAAAGGGUAACAUACAAAUGAAGGUGGAUACAGAGAGAAAUAUCUGGUUGUGAGUUCAGUCUAGUGUUGGAGAGACCGGAUGUUUUAUCAAUCACCUGCAUGCAUUUAUACAGCACCUCUGUUAGUUAUUUCCUGGUGGAGUCAUCCAUCUUGGCGGGAGGAAAGGGCAGUUUCCCACGUAGGAGCCCAUGCCACUAUUAAUAGGAGUAGGAACUCUCAAGUCAGACCAGCGUCUCUGCUGCCUUUAGACUCCAGCGGGGCUGGGAGAGCAGUAGAGCCAGAAGUAAUUCAUGCUUUCCUUUGUGGUUCAGCCAAAUAGGGAACCGAGCCCAUCGCUGCUGCCUGCUGUGACAGAGGAGAGCUAGCCUCACUGGGAAACUCAUUUCCAGCUUAAAGUGCCUCCCCUGCCUUUCCCUGCAGCGAUCCAUCCCGGGACCACCUGGACUGUAUUAGAAUUCUUUCAGCAGUGAAGUCUCUCCUCUUCUGUCUGUGUGGCUGUGCAUCCCCUGCAGCAGCCUGUGUAUGUCAGAUGUAAGGCUCUUCUCUGUCCGCGUACUGGAGAGCAGCAGGAGGGGUGGCUGUUCUGUACGCACAGGAAUCAGGUUCUGCUGGCUUAAUGCAGCAUCCUUUUCUCCUGUUCUUAACGUGGAGACCUCAGAUCCUUUCCCCUAACAGCUGCCUUGUGUUCUCUUACUUUCUUUUCCUUUUCUGUGGAGCAACUGCUUGUGCUGCUGUCAUCUGUUCAUUGUUGUUAAUAACUAACCCUCCGCUGGAUCUAGUGCUUAAUGUUAAGAAAAACACUCGGAACAUUUCCCAAAUUUUAGAAUCAUCAAGAGGAGUGUGAAAGUUUUUCAUUAAUGUUUUAGGAGUAUUCAUCCUGUCUGUACCUUUGAGAGCAAGAGAAUGAAGUUUUGUUUUUAAUAUUACUUUAUUAUAUUUAUUUUAGAUAAACUAACCCCCAACAUUUUUGAAGUUUACUUUAUCCAAAUCCAUUCAUAUAACAAGUGUUUUUGGGCACCGACCUGGGUCUAGGCACUGUUGGAUGCCCUCCAGGUACAUUGGUAAGCAAGACAGUGCCACCUCCCCUCCCCCAUCUCAUGGAGCUGUCAUCUGAUGAAGAGAGACAGACACUUAACAAUGAGCAUACAAAUGAGUAAAUAAUGUUACAUGUUAAGGGGAAAUAGAAAGCAGAGCAAGCGUGUCAGUGGUGGAGUCCAGCUGGUCACCAUUUGAAAUAAGAUAAGGUUGGCCUCGGUGAGAGAGCCCUUUGAAUGAAGACUUGUAAGAGGAAUUGGGAUUGGCUGUGUGGAUGUGUGGGGGAAGCAUAUUCCAGAAAAGUGAAACAGUCAGUGCAAAAGUCCUGAAGAGGGGGGAAUGCCUGGCAUCUUGGGGAUCAGCAUAGAAGCCCACAUGGCUGGGGCAGAGUGGGCAGAGAGGUGAGGGGGAGGGGAGAUCGGGCAUCACAGGGACAGGCACGGUCAGCUUUUCUAGGGCAUGAAGCAGCCUUGGGCUUUCACUCAGUGUGGAAAGGUGAGCGCCUGGGAAGCUGUGAGCAUGGCAGUGACUUCACCUGAUGCAUCCUUUAGACAGAGUCCUCGGGCUGAUGUCAUUGACUGUAUUCACACAAUACAGACCCACACCAUAGGGGCACAGGAAGAAGCCCGAGACCAGUUAAAAGGGGAUUUGAGGAAUCUGGGCUGGGAGUGAUGGGCUCGAUCCAGGGUGGUGGCAGUGGUGGUAAUGAGGAGCUAUUGGAUGGGGUUGUAUUUAGAAGACAGAGUCAAAAGUCUAAAAGGUUUGUUCGGGGUUGUGAGAGAGGCAUCAUGGAUGAUGGCAGGUUUUGUGGUUUGAGCAGCUGGAAGAAUGUGGUUCCUCUCCAGCUGGGAUGGAGGGUGAGGUAGAGUGGGCUUGGAGGUGGAGAGAGGACCAGGAGUUGAGCUGCUGAGAUGCUAACUUUGAGAUGGAUGUCUGUUCUGUGUGCAAGUGGAGAUGGCAAGGAGGCGGUUAGAUGAGAGAGUCUAGGGCUGAGAGGGAGGUGUGGACUGUAGGUAUCAAGAGUUGUUAAAAAUGAAUAUUUUUGAAGCCAUGGGUUUUUUAAACUGAACUAUAACGGGCUUACAGUAUUGUGUUAGUUUCAGGAGUACAGCAAAGUGAAUCCAUUUUUUUGCAGGUUAUAUUCUGUUAUAGGUUGUUACAAGACAUUGGGUAGAGUUCCCUGUGCUGUGUGGUAAAUCCUUGUCGCUGAACUAUUUUAUGUACAGUAGUUUGUGUCCAUUAAUCUCAUACCCUUGAUUUCUCCUUCCCCCCACCUCCUCUUGUUAACCACAAGUUUCUUUUCUGUCUGUGAGUCUUUCUGCUUUCAUAUAUGUUCAUUUGUGUUAUUUUUGAGAGUCCCCAUGUAAGUGAUACAGUUUUUGUCUUUCUCCAUCUGACUUACUUCAUUACACAUUAUAUUCUCUGAGACUUGACAAAGCUUAUCAAGGGAGCAUAUCUGGAGAGAAGAAGAAAACCAAGGCCUGAGCCCGGGGCGUGCUGACCUAAAGAGGGCAGGAGGGAGAGGGCUAAACUGCAAGGACAGAGCAAGGUUGAGGCAACCUGAGCAUGUGCACUCCUGAAGCCACGUGGGGAGAAUAUAUAGAGGAGAGUAGAUCUGCUGUGUCCGCUGCUGCUGAGAGAGAUGAGGACUGACAGCUGACCUUGGAGUUUAGCAGGAAGGAGGCCAUCGGCACUGGACAAGCAGUUUCUGUGGGCAGGUGGCUGUGAAAGGCAAACUGGGAACAGAAGAAGUGGAAUUGGCUACUUCAAGGUAUACACUUCCUGGAGGAAAGGGUGUAAAAUGUGUGGGGGGGGCAGUAAUUUGCAGGAGGGUGGAGUCAGCAGGAGCCUUUUAUUUUGCCUUGUUUUGAAUUUAAUGAGAGAAAUCAUGGUAUGAAUGAACAAUAGAAUGUUUGCACUUUUUGGAAAGAUGCAGUAGCCGGGAAGAAGUGCAUGAUGAGGGGAGUCGUAGAGCAGAGUCCUCGAGUGGAGGGGCUGUAAUGGGGUCCAGGGCACAGUGGGAAGGUUGGCUUCAGGUAGGAACAUGGGCAGUUCAUCUGUGGAAAAGCAGAAAGGAGGAGGGGAGAGGUGGGUGUGGGUACUGGUAGGGGCAGAAUUGGUGAGGGAUGGGGGUGAUUUCCUCCGGUUGCCUCCACUUCCUCUGAGAAGUAAAACAUGCUGUGAUGAGGCGGCAGUGAGGAUGGGGCCAGGAUGCUGGAGGGGAGCAGGUGUGGGGAGUUCUCCUGGAGGGCUGGGCUCCCAGCAGCAGGAAGUCUGCUCCAAGUUGGUGACCGUGAAUGUGAGCUGGGACCAGACAGGCAGGGGUGUGUAUGUGUGUGUGUUGUGUGUAUCUAUGAGUGCACGGCCACUUUCUCCCACACAACUGCAGGUGUUGGUAGUUGUGUAGUUGGAUUUACCAAGAGGACUGGUUUUGCCAAAUGAGUGCAGCGGACUGAGAGAGGAGCAGGAAGGAGCUGCCUGUGUGUAUAGGAUGUAAGUGGAGUCAUGAAGGAAGAAGAGACAUUGGGGGUGUGGACAGUGUGAGACACACAGGAUCAACAGAGUGUGUCCCAGGGGCCAGAGCGCUGUGGGCAUCCAGGUGCCAGAGGGCACACCUGGUGGUGGGGGAGUAGGACUGCCAGAGAGCAAAUGCCUAAGGCUGAGAUUCGGGCGUGGUUGUGUUACUGGUAACAGAAAAAGAACUGGAAAACCCGUGGGAGAUAGCAGCUGGGGCGGAGAGAUGAGCACAGGGAAGGAGUUGAAGGGCCUCUCGUGAGCAGUUGGAAAUUACUAAGAGUGAAGCCAGAUGUCAGGUCACAGUCAGUGGAAAUGAGGGGGAUGGCAUAGAGGUUGAUAGGUGAAGGCAACAAUAUUUUUAAUGAGCAUUUUCCCUGACUUCAAAAUUUCAUAGAAUUUGCGACUGCCAAAAUAAAUAAAAACACAUCACUAAAAUUCAUAUUUAUGUAAGUACAAUGGCAAACUAAGAUUAUCUGUUUUUGUACUGAUCUAAUUUUUCUCAUUAGAGUGUCUGUUAAGUAGGAUUUUUUUUUUAAAUCGCUGUCUUUUUGUUGGAAAAUUGCCCAGAGUGAUUUUAGUUUUAUUCCAAAGAACUGGAAUUCCUUGGGGGUCGUUGUUACUUGUGACAGGAUGGGUGUCAGAGAAGCAGCCUCUGAGCCGGAGGCGCAUGUACAGAAAGUCUAGAGACUGUACUUGGCAUCAGCACUGGUUCCGAGGGAGCAGCCUCUCAUGACUGGAGCUGACGCCAGUUCGAAGGCUUCACUUUUUCACAUAACCAGGAAGCCUGGGCCAGUUAAUUCAGAGCUGGCACCUGUGCAAGGAACCAGACCCCCUUCUUUCCUGCUGCAAAAUCCCUAGUCUGUGACUUUAGUCUUCCUUGUCACAAGAUGGCUGCACAACCUCCAGCCCUUGCAGGAGGAGGAGAGGUGAAAGGUAAAAGGUCCAUGCCUGUUAACUCAGCAGCAUAAUCAGAAAAGUAGUCGCUGUCCUGGAUGCCUUGUGUUGGAAAUUUUUGCUUUCAUCUUACUAGUCAGAACUUUGAUCCUGUGCCCCUGCCCCACCGCAUGUGCAUUGGUCCAGGGAGAGAGGUGUUUUUAACUGGCACAUUGCUGCCCGGUGCAAAAUUUUAGUGGGGAGGAAGAGGAGGUUGGCAGCUAGCAGUGUCUGCUGUGUGGUGAUUUUACUUUCUAUUCUAAAUUAAUUUUCUUUGACUUGUCGACUCGUGUAUCUAUUUUUAGAUUAGUAUGUUUAUUGUCACAAAAGAAAUAGUUGCUCAUUAGUUAAACUCAAAAAUACAGAAAAGUAAAAAGGAAGCAAUAAUUUAGCCAGAAACAGCUGGUGUCAUAGUGGGUGAGCCUCAUUCCAUGCCUCUUGUGUGUGUGUCCUUCUGCAGAUGGAAGGAAGCGGGAUGACAGCUGGAAGGAAGGAGAAAGGCAGGCACGUGGACAAAUAAAAAUGGAUGAAGCAUUGUAUAAGAACAGAUCACACUUUGUCAGUUCUUUUAAAUAAAACAUUAGGUUUCAUUUUACUUAAAUCUGUAAGAAGAAAAAGAAACUUCAUCCUGAGAAAUGUUACACCCGCAAAAGGUCCCUUCAAGAACAUAGAUUAUGAAAACCCCUGAAAGACUGCCAAAGCCGUAUUAUUUUAAGCUGCAUUUUCUAAUUUUAUACACUAUCAAUUUUCCCUUCUACUAAAUAUGUAGUAAACCUCUUAUAUCCCCUACUUG
Long non-coding RNA from Camelus dromedarius (Arabian camel), 7705 nucleotides. RefSeq lists it as uncharacterized. The record is from RefSeq and is a predicted model, not a curated record. The transcript has 6 exons. NCBI's taxonomy places the organism in Eukaryota, Metazoa, Chordata, Mammalia, Artiodactyla, Camelidae.